Molecule: ribosomal RNA, 325 nt
Filed under: uncultured eukaryote
Lineage: Eukaryota
Description: partial 18S ribosomal RNA
Rfam family: Eukaryotic small subunit ribosomal RNA
Source: RNAcentral
CCCUUAGAUGUUCUGGGCUGCACGCGCGCUACACUGAUGCGCUCAACGAGUUUUAACCUUGCCUGGAAAGGUUGGGUAAUCUUUUUAAAACGCAUCGUGAUGGGGAUAGAUUAUUGCAAUUAUUAAUCUUCAACGAGGAAUUCCUAGUAAGCGCGAGUCAUCAGCUCGUGCUGAUUACGUCCCUGCCCUUUGUACACACCGCCCGUCGCUCCUACCGAUUGGGUGAUCCGGUGAAUAAUUCGGACUGCGGCAUUGACCGGUUCCCGAUCGUUGCUGCGGAAAGUUUAGUGAACCUUAUCACUUAGAGGAAGGAGAAGUCGUAACA